RNAcentral lists this long non-coding RNA (263 nucleotides) under Lathyrus oleraceus (garden pea). RNAcentral describes it as "Pisum sativum (pea) long non-coding RNA (PSAT_LNC015546)". The record is from RNAcentral. Lineage: Eukaryota; Viridiplantae; Streptophyta; Magnoliopsida; Fabales; Fabaceae.
AAAAAUUAACUCUAAAAAGAUCAUAAUUUUAUAUUAAAAGCAAAUUCUUUUUAUAUACUAUUUUCUUUUUAAAAUAAAUAAUUUUAAAAUUUAUCUAAUAAAAACUAGAGAUUAAUUACUAUAUACUGUGUAAAAAAAUUUACACUGUCGAUACAUCACCAUCACCCAUUUGCAUUAUUUUAUAGAUUUUUAAAAUAAAAGUCAAACUUAUUUCAAUAUCCAACGGAUAUGAUUAACUGACGGUGUAAAAUCCUUUUACACUG